RNAcentral lists this ribosomal RNA (245 nucleotides) under uncultured bacterium. RNAcentral's name for it is "partial 16S ribosomal RNA". It matches the Rfam family "Bacterial small subunit ribosomal RNA", at positions 528 to 772 of the family's 1533-position model. The record is from RNAcentral.
GAGGGUGCAAGCGUUGUCCGGAAUCAUUGGGCGUAAAGAGUUCGUAGGUGGCACGUUAAGUCUGGUGUUAAAUGCAGAGGUUCAACUUCUGUUCGGCACUGGAUACUGGCGAGCUUGAAUGCGGUAGAGGUAAAGGGAAUUCCUGGUGUAGCGGUGAAAUGCGUAGAUAUCAGGAGGAACAUCGGUGGCGUAAGCGCUUUACUGGGCCGUAAUUGACACUGAGGAACGAAAGUGCGGGUAUCAAA